Molecule: ribosomal RNA, 399 nt
Filed under: uncultured bacterium
Lineage: Bacteria
Description: bacterial SSU rRNA
Rfam family: Bacterial small subunit ribosomal RNA
Source: RNAcentral
UGGGGAAUAUUGGACAAUGGGCGCAAGCCUGAUCCAGCAAUGCCGCGUGAGUGAUGAAGGCCUUAGGGUUGUAAAGCUCUUUCGCACGCGACGAUGAUGACGGUAGCGUGAGAAGAAGCCCCGGCUAACUUCGUGCCAGCAGCCGCGGUAAUACGAAGGGGGCUAGCGUUGUUCGGAAUUACUGGGCGUAAAGGGCGCGUAGGCGGCCUGUUUAGUCAGAAGUGAAAGCCCCGGGCUCAACCUGGGAAUAGCUUUUGAUACUGGCAGGCUUGAGUUCCGGAGAGGAUGGUGGAAUUCCCAGUGUAGAGGUGAAAUUCGUAGAUAUUGGGAAGAACACCGGUGGCGAAGGCGGCCAUCUGGACGGACACUGACGCUGAGGCGCGAAAGCGUGGGGAGCAA